Molecule: ribosomal RNA, 461 nt
Filed under: Podarcis siculus (Italian wall lizard)
Lineage: Eukaryota; Metazoa; Chordata; Lepidosauria; Squamata; Lacertidae
Description: partial 12S ribosomal RNA
Rfam family: Bacterial small subunit ribosomal RNA
Source: RNAcentral
GCUAAGCCCUGAACAUUGAAAGCUAACUAUACUAUACUUUCCGCCAGAGAACUACGAGUGAAAAACUUAAAACUCAAAGGACUUGACGGUGUCCCAUAUCGGCCUAGAGGAGCCUGUCCUAUAAUCGAUACCCCCCGUUCCACCCAACCCCAACUAGCAAAACAUCAGCCUAUAUACCGCCGUCGACAGUUUACCCUAUGAAGGUCCAAUAGUAGACACAAUAGCCCUAACACUAAUACGUCAGGUCAAGGUGUAGCAAAUGCUGGGGAAGAGAUUGGCUACAUUUUUUAUGAUAAAAAACACGAAUUGCACCAUGAAAAAGUGCAUGAAGGUGAAUUUAGUAGUAAAACAGAUAAGAGUGCCUGUUUUAACAACGCUCUGGGACGCGUACACACCGCCCGUCACCCUCCUCAACAAAACAAAAUAACUUAUAUAAAAAGAUUAAUUUAAUCAGAGGAGGC